CCACACUCGCUGCGGUGUGUGCAUGUGAGAAACCUUUUGCUCUGCCCAAGGCCCGCGUUACUCAAGCUUUGUACCUGUACAAAACAUUACAAAGUGCCAGAAUGAUGGUGUGCAUGAAGGGAGCGGCUNCCUGCCUUGUUCUAUCGAUUAGCAGCUGUUGGAAAAGCCUAAUACGAACAGAACGAUCAUCAUCGGUGAGGAGGAUUUCAGCAGAUGAAGUUACCAUAGCAGCAGCUCAUCUCUCAACAGCGUUUCAGCUCCCUAGUUCUGCCAACUGCAAAACUGGCUUCACACAACCAGCUUCCGCACGCCUCCUUUUUGCAGAUCAUCUGAACCUGCAUGGUCUAGCAUGGAAAUGUAUUUAUUAUUUGGACUAAAGAUUUGAAAUUUACUGGUUGUAAUGCUUUAGAAGAGAACAUAUACAAGAUGAUGUAUAGAUGGUAUUUAACACUUUAUAACAUUUCAGAAAUGUAAGGUGUGUCGAAUAAGUGUUGGAAAUGUAAAAAGCAAGAAGGAACUUUUUACCAUAUGUGGUGGACUUGAAAAAAAAAAAAGAAGAAAAAUUGGGUGCAAAUAUUUACGGUCAUACAGAAGAUUUUAAAGACUAAUAUUCCUUUUAAGCCAGAGUUUUAUCUACUAGGGAUAAUAGAAAAUAAGUUUGAUAAGGUACUUUGAUGCAAAAUAUGGUCAUUGCAGGUAGAAUUGUGUAUGCACAAAAAUGGAAAGGAGAUAAAAUACCCAUGGUGGAUGAUUGGCUGGUUAAAAACAGGGAUCUCACAGAGAUGGACAAAUUGACUAACUUAUUGAGAAAUAAGUCUGUUGAUAAGUUUUAUAAAACCUGGAAACCCUUUACUGACUUUCUGCAAGAAUUGGAAAAAUAACUUGUUAUUGCUGUAUCUGAAGAGUGAAGAGGAAAACAGAUGGAUCGGUUGAAGAAAAGAAUUUAAAAAACAGGAGGGGCAUGAAGUCAAUAUGUAAACAAUGUUAAUCUAUAAUUUUUUC
This 1002-nucleotide long non-coding RNA is filed under the name Salvator merianae (Argentine black and white tegu). Its description in RNAcentral is "lncRNA (ENSSMRG00000020889.1)". Lineage: Eukaryota; Metazoa; Chordata; Lepidosauria; Squamata; Teiidae. The record is from RNAcentral.